CAGAAACAAAAACAAAUAGAUUCUAACUUUCGAGUAAACAAUCGCAUAUCAUAAUUACUCUAUCCCUGACAUGUACAUUGAUUCAAAGUAUCAAAUAUGAUUUAAAAAAAGUUAUUUUCAUAAAACAGUCACUGUAU
Sebastes umbrosus (honeycomb rockfish) is the source of this 137-nucleotide long non-coding RNA. RefSeq lists it as uncharacterized. The record is from RefSeq and is a predicted model, not a curated record. NCBI's taxonomy places the organism in Eukaryota, Metazoa, Chordata, Actinopteri, Perciformes, Sebastidae. The transcript has 3 exons.